GUAAACGAUGGAUACUCGUUGUUGGGAAUUAAUUCUCAGUGACUAAGCGAAAGUAAUAAGUAUCCCACCUGGGGAGUACGACCGCAAGGUUGAAACUCAAAGGAAUUGACGGGGGCCCGCACAAGCGGUGGAGCAUGUGGUUUAAUUCGAUGAUACGCGAGGAACCUUACCAGGGCUUAAAUGGGAAUUGCUUUAUUUGGAAACAAAUAUUUCUUCGGACAAUUUUCAAGGUGCUGCAUGGUUGUCGUCAGCUCGUGCCGUGAGGUGUCAGGUUAAGUCCUAUAACGAGCGCAACCCCUAUCAUUAGUUGCCAUCGAGUCAAGUCGGGAACUCUAAUGAGACUGCCGGUGCAAACCGAGAGGAAGGUGGGGAUGACGUCAAAUCAUCACGGCCCUUACGUCCUGGGCCACACACGUGCUACAAUGGCCGGUACAGAGGGCAGCUACACAGCGAUGUGAUGCGAAUCUCUAAAGCCGGUCUCAGUUCGGAUUGGAGUCUGCAACUCGACUCUAUGAAGCUGGAAUCGCUAGUAAUCGCAUAUCAGCCAUGAUGCGGUGAAUACGUUCCCGGGCCUUGUACACACCGCCCGUCAAGCCAUGGAAGCUGGGGGUGCCUGAAGUUGGUGACCGUAACAGGAGCUACCUAGGGUAAAACUAGUGACUGGGGCUAAGUCGUAACAAGGUAGCCGUACCGGAAGGUGCGGCUGGAAUAUCUCUUUUUUAGA
Molecule: ribosomal RNA, 724 nt
Filed under: Apibacter muscae
Lineage: Bacteria; Pseudomonadati; Bacteroidota; Flavobacteriia; Flavobacteriales; Weeksellaceae
Description: bacterial SSU rRNA
Rfam family: Bacterial small subunit ribosomal RNA
Source: RNAcentral